This 1343-nucleotide ribosomal RNA is filed under the name uncultured bacterium. Its description in RNAcentral is "bacterial SSU rRNA". It matches the Rfam family "Bacterial small subunit ribosomal RNA", at positions 41 to 1379 of the family's 1533-position model. The record is from RNAcentral.
UACAGGCUUAACACAUGCAAGUCGAGGGGCUAGCAUGAACUUAGCUUGCUAAGUUUGAUGGCGACCGGCGCACGGGUGAGUAACACGUAUCCAACCUGCCGAUGACUCGGGGAUAGCCUUUCGAAAGAAAGAUUAAUACCCGAUGGCAUAGUUCUUCCGCAUGGUAGAACUAUUAAAGAACUUCGGUCAUCGAUGGGGAUGCGUUCCAUUAGGUUGUUGGCGGGGUAACGGCCCACCAAGCCUUCGAUGGAUAGGGGUUCUGAGAGGAAGGUCCCCCACAUUGGAACUGAGACACGGUCCAAACUCCUACGGGAGGCAGCAGUGAGGAAUAUUGGUCAAUGGACGAGAGUCUGAACCAGCCAAGUAGCGUGAAGGAUGACUGCCCUAUGGGUUGUAAACUUCUUUUGUACGGGAAUAAAGUGAGGCACGUGUGCCUGUUUGUAUGUACCGUAUGAAUAAGGAUCGGCUAACUCCGUGCCAGCAGCCGCGGUAAUACGGAGGAUCCGAGCGUUAUCCGGAUUUAUUGGGUUUAAAGGGAGCGUAGGCGGACGCUUAAGUCAGUUGUGAAAGUUUGCGGCUCAACCGUAAAAUUGCAGUUGAUACUGGGUGUCUUGAGUACAGUAGAGGCAGGCGGAAUUCGUGGUGUAGCGGUGAAAUGCUUAGAUAUCACGAAGAACUCCGAUUGCGAAGGCAGCCUGCUGGACUGUAACUGACGCUGAUGCUCGAAAGUGUGGGUAUCAAACAGGAUUAGAUACCCUGGUAGUCCACACAGUAAACGAUGAAUACUCGCUGUUUGCGAUAUACAGUAAGCGGCCAAGCGAAAGCGUUAAGUAUUCCACCUGGGGAGUACGCCGGCAACGGUGAAACUCAAAGGAAUUGACGGGGGCCCGCACAAGCGGAGGAACAUGUGGUUUAAUUCGAUGAUACGCGAGGAACCUUACCCGGGCUUAAAUUGCAUUUGAAUAUAUUGGAAACAGUAUAGCCGUAAGGCAAAUGUGAAGGUGCUGCAUGGUUGUCGUCAGCUCGUGCCGUGAGGUGUCGGCUUAAGUGCCAUAACGAGCGCAACCCUUAUCUUUAGUUACUAACAGGUCAUGCUGAGGACUCUAGAGAGACUGCCGUCGUAAGAUGUGAGGAAGGUGGGGAUGACGUCAAAUCAGCACGGCCCUUACGUCCGGGGCUACACACGUGUUACAAUGGGGGGUACAGAAGGCAGCUACCUGGUGACAGGAUGCUAAUCCCAAAAGCCUCUCUCAGUUCGGAUUGGAGUCUGCAACCCGACUCCAUGAAGCUGGAUUCGCUAGUAAUCGCGCAUCAGCCACGGCGCGGUGAAUACGUUCCCGGGC